GAUGAACGCUGGCGGCGUGCCUAAUACAUGCAAGUCGAGCGAACAGACGAGGAGCUUGCUCCUCUGACGUUAGCGGCGGACGGGUGAGUAACACGUGGAUAACCUACCUAUAAGACUGGGAUAACUUCGGGAAACCGGAGCUAAUACCGGAUAAUAUAUUGAACCGCAUGGUUCAAUAGUGAAAGACGGUUUUGCUGUCACUUAUAGAUGGAUCCGCGCCGCAUUAGCUAGUUGGUAAGGUAACGGCUUACCAAGGCAACGAUGCGUAGCCGACCUGAGAGGGUGAUCGGCCACACUGGAACUGAGACACGGUCCAGACUCCUACGGGAGGCAGCAGUAGGGAAUCUGCCGCAAUGGGCGAAAGCCUGACGGAGCAACGCCGCGUGAGUGAUGAAGGUCUUCGGAUCGUAAAACUCUGUUAUUAGGGAAGAACAAAUGUGUAAGUAACUAUGCACGUCUGGACGGUACCUAAGCAGAAAGCCACGGCUAACUACGU
This 496-nucleotide ribosomal RNA is filed under the name uncultured bacterium. RNAcentral describes it as "partial 16S ribosomal RNA". It matches the Rfam family "Bacterial small subunit ribosomal RNA", at positions 28 to 506 of the family's 1533-position model. The record is from RNAcentral.